CUCUUUUCCAGGCUGAGAAGGCCCAGCUCUUGCAGCCUUUCCUCUUAGGAGAGAUGCUCCAGUCCUUAAUCAUCUUAGGACCCAUAUGUUUGAC
Molecule: non-coding RNA, 94 nt
Organism: Tinamus guttatus (white-throated tinamou)
Lineage: Eukaryota; Metazoa; Chordata; Aves; Tinamiformes; Tinamidae
Source: RefSeq, a predicted model, not a curated record